CGCACAGAUGGCUGCAGUUGGAUGAUAUUGGCUCCCCUCCCCCACCCAGAAGCUUGGUGUGACGGAGCUCUGGGGACAGAGGAGUGCAGUAUCAGGAUGGAGGACCAGAGCCCAGACUCUCCUGAACCCAGUUGUGUGUCCUUAAAGAGUGACUGGUCUAAAGAUGCCAUUAUUAACUUCAAAAAAUCUGCAGGUGGAAGUUUCAAGAGGAUUAGGCUUCAGGAAGACUUGCCUGAACCCAGCUGUUUGUCCAUGAAGAGUGACAUGUCUAAAGAUGCCAUUAUUAACUUCAAAGAAUCUGCAGGUGAAAGUAAUAAGAUGAUGAGGCUGUGGGCAGACUCGCCUGAACCUAGUUGUGUGUCCAUGAAGAGUGACUGGUCUAAAGAUGCCAUUAUUAACUUCAAAGAAUCUGCACAUGGAAGAGGUCAGCUGGAAACAUCAGAGUUCUUCAAUGAUCAGUCCAAGCAACAUAAAACAGACCUGGACUUAAUAUUUAUGUUGCUGGAGGAGAACAUUAUCACCUUUGUGAAGAACGAACUGAAGAGAUUUCAGAAGGCUCUGAGUCAGGAUAACCCAGAAUGUCACAGUGAGGAUGAGGAGGUGUUGGUUGGUGAAUAUGAAGAUCAGAGGAGCAGCAGAGAGGCUUUUCUGAAGAUCACAGAGAACUUCCUGAGGAGAAUAAAGCAGAACGAGUUGGCUGACCGUCUGUGGAACAGAAUUUCUGCUCCGGUAUGCCAACAUAAACUCAAGUCUAACCUGAAGGAGAAGUUCCAGUGUGUGUUUGAGGGGAUUGCUAAAGCAGGAAACCCAACCCUUCUGAAUCAGAUCUACACAGAGCUCUACAUCACAGAGGGAGGGACUGGAGAGGUCAACGAUGAACAUGAGGUCAGACAGAUCGAAGCAACAUCCUGGAAAGCACACAGACUGGAACCAGUCAUCAGACAGGAGGAUAUCUUUAAAUCUCCACCUGGAAGAGAUGAACCAAUCAGAACAGUGAUGACGAAGGGCGUGGCUGGCAUUGGGAAAACAGUCUUAACACAGAAGUUCACUCUGGACUGGGCUGAAGGCAAAGCCAACCAGGACAUCCAGUUCACAUUUCCAUUGACUUUCAGAGAGCUGAAUGUGCUGAAAGAGAAGAAGUUCAGCUUGGUGGAGCUUGUUCAUUACUUCUUUCCUGAAACCAAAAAAGCAGGACUCUGCAGGUUUGAAGAAUUCAAAGUCGUGUUCAUCUUUGAUGGUCUGGACGAGUGUCGACUUCCUCUGGACUUCCACAACAACCAGAUCUUAACUGAUGUUAAAAAGUCCACCUCAGUGGAUGUGCUACUGACAAACCUCAUCAGGGGGAACCUGCUUCCAUCUGCUAGUCUCUGGAUAACCACACGACCUGCAGCAGCCAAUCAGAUCCCUCCUGGGUGUGUUGAUAUGGUGACAGAGGUCAGAGGGUUUACUGACCCUCAGAAGGAGGAGUACUUCAGGAAGAGAUUCAGAGAUGAGGAGCAGGCUAGCAGAAUCAUCUCCCACAUCAGGAGAUCCAGAAGUCUCCACAUCAUGUGCCACAUCCCGGUCUUCUGCUGGAUCACUGCUACAGUUCUGGAGGAUGUGCUGAAGACCAGAGAGGGAGGAGAGCUGCCCAAGACCCUGACUGAGAUGUUCAUCUACUACCUGGUGGUUCAGACCAAAGUGAAAAACAUCAAAUAUGAUGGAGGAGCUGAGACAGACCCACACUGGAGUCCAGAGAGCAGGAAGAUGAUCGAGUCUCUGGGUAAGCUGGCUUUUGAGCAGCUGCAGAAAGGAAACCUGAUCUUCUAUGAACCAGAUCUGAUGGAGUGUGGCAUCGAUAUCAGAGCAGCCUCGGUGUACUCAGGAGUGUUCACACAGGUCUUCAGAGAGGAGAGAGGACUGUACCAGGACAAGGUGUUCUCCUUCAUCCAUCUGAGUGUUCAUGAGUUUCUGGCUGCUCUUCAUGUCCACCUGACCUUCAUCAACUCUGGAGUCAAUCUGAUGGCAGAAGAACAAACACCAUCCAGAUCUACAACGACAGAGCUCUACCAGAGUGCUGUGGACCAGGCCUUACUGAGCCCAAACGGACACCUGGACUUGUUCCUCCGCUUCCUCCUGGGCCUGUCACUGACCAGCAAUCAGAAUCUCCUACGAGGUCUGCUGACACAAACUGGAAGUGACUCACAGACCAGAGAGAAAACAGUUCAGUAUAUCCAGACAAAGAUCAGCGAGGAUCUGUCGGCAGAGAAGAGCAUCGACCUGUUCCACUGUCUGAAUGAAUUGAAUGAUCGUUCUCUAGUGGAGCAGAUCCAACAGUCCCUGAGAUCAGGACAUCUCUCCACAGAUAAACUGUCUCCUGCUCAGUGGUCAGCUCUGGCCUUUAUCUUACUGUCAUCAGAAAAAGAUCUGGAUGUGUUUGACCUGAAGAAAUACUCCACUUCAGAGGAGGCUCUCCUGAGGCUGCUGCCAGUGGUCAAAGCCUCCAACAGAGCUCUACUGAGUGGGUGUAACCUCUCAGAGAGAAGCUGUGGAGCUCUGUCCUCAGUGCUUAGCUCCCAGUCCUCCAGUCUCAGAGAGCUGGACCUGAGUAACAAUGACUUACAGGAUUCAGGAAAUGAGCUACUUUGUGUUGGACUUAUGGAUCCACUUUCUACGUUUGAAUCUCUCAGACUGAGUGGGUGUAACCUCUCAGCGAGAAGCUGUGGAGCUCUAUCCUCAGUCCUCAGCUCCUCCAGUCUCAGAGAUCUGGACCUGAGUAACAACGACCUGCAAGAUUCAGGAGUGAUCCUGCUGUCUUCUGGACUAAAUAGUCCACACUGCAGGCUGGACUCUCUCAGUCUGUCUGGCUGUUUGGUCUCAGAAGAAGGCUGUUCUUCUCUGGCCUCGGCCAUGAUCUCAUCCUGUCUGACAGAACUGGACCUGAGCUACAAUCAUCCAGGAGAACGAGGAGAGAGACUACUGUCAGCUCUACUGGAGGAUCCACACUGCAGACUGAAGACACUGAGGUACAGACAGAAAGACACAGAGAGAAGGACUGGUACUAGGUACUACAGUUGACUCUACGCACUUCACCUAUACAGGGGCUUUUAUUUUGGUAGGAUAGUGGAUGGAUAAAGUAGGAAACUGGGGAGAGAGAGUGGAGAAUGACAUAAUGAAAAGGAGCCCACCCACCAACACUGUUAGGACAACAGCCUCUACACAUGGGGCAGGUGGACAGAACCACUAGACUACCAGCGAUGCCUAGUUGCUACUGCCUGUUGCAGUAGCAACUGGGGCAUUAGGAGCAACUCUAGACUAGAGGCUGACUGUUUUUUCAGGAGUCCCACAGAUCAUGAGAUUCUCAUGGGGACGGGAAUAAAUUUCACAACUAAUCAUGUGAUUAGGACAAGACGGGAACGAAAGUUGAAGGGAGCAGGGAUCAGUAUAAUGUAGGGAAGUUUUAUCUGCAAACACUGUUAUUAUAUUAAUUACAGGUACUAUUUUCAUCAACGUUGAUGUUCGCUGAUUUUUUGCAAUUUUCAUAGAGGUGGCCAGACUGAGACCAAAGCUCACACAGGGGUGACACAGAAACGGAUAUCUUUUUUUGCCCUAUCUGUGACCUCUUCUCUGGCGGCGGGAAACAGAGCGUCCUCCAGUGCUUAAUUUGUAAAUCUUCAGGUCCCGGACCACAGACCGGGUGUUGUUCCAGUGGUAAGGGGGAAACAAAAAUGUCACGGAAUACAUCAGAAACCGACAAACUGCCCUGUGCAAAAACAGGCCAAGAAGAUCAUGUGACUGCAAACAACCUAUUAAUCUAAAUGAUUAAAAAAGAAUCAGCUGCAGAGAAGCACGUACAAUCACCCAUCCAUGGAGAGCGUCUCUCUCACUCACUCUCUCUCUGAGUGGCAGCUGUCAGUCAAAUCUGAUGUGUUUCAACACCAAGGACAGCCAAAAUCACCACCAGCUCAUUUAGCCACUCUCAGCAUAAACAUAAACUGUCACUACACAAAAACCCACUUAUUAAGUUGAAAUCAUUAUUUAUGAAAUUGUACCUGCCACGUCAUUAGUAUUCAGUAGAUAUUAUUCUGUUAUUCAAUCAGAGCUUGUCUGCAAAAACAAAACUUUUCCAUCAGUUGACUGCCCGAGUAAACAAGUCUAUGGUCCGAUCAUCUGUCUCUCAUCUUAAUGCCUUUUCAUUCAAAGAUUUGUGGACUGCUUCCACAGUUCACAGCACAAAUGUCCACAUUAGUAGCUGUGGGAGUAAUGUUAAUCAUAUACCAAAACAGACAGCAGAAAAUCUGAAACCAAAGCCAGCUCACAUGACAGAAUUUACACUUUAGGUGUCACUGAAUGAUCUGCUGACAGCUUGUUUUUAUCUCAUAAUAAAGCUCUAAAUGCAUCCAAAAAUAAUUACAGGCAGCGAAAAUAAAGAGCUCAUGUUAAGGCACGGCGGCCAAUUAAUAAUUAAAACAUUGUCUUACCUUAAUAUAGCAGUUAUGUGACACUGUGACAUGGAUGAAACGGUGUCUGUUUCUCUCAGGGCUGUCCUGUUAAUCCCACUUUGAUCCAGGUACCCAGUGAUAGCAGCCUGCUCACGGAUGUUGCUAACUCUUUAUCUCAGCUCUCAUCUACCUGUACAGGCUGGACCAUGGUGGACAGCACAGACUGAAACCAGGUCUAAAGAAGUACGCCUGUGAGCUGGAAGUGGACACAAACACAGUGAACAGAAAACUCAAACUGUCUUACAACAACAGGAAGGUGACACAUGUGGAGG
Cheilinus undulatus (humphead wrasse) is the source of this 4753-nucleotide RNA transcript. It is a transcript of the gene named protein NLRC3-like, with no coding region annotated. NCBI's taxonomy places the organism in Eukaryota, Metazoa, Chordata, Actinopteri, Labriformes, Labridae. The transcript is spliced from 13 exons. The record is from RefSeq and is a predicted model, not a curated record.